UCGAGGAUCUUCGUCAAUGGGCGCAAGCCUGAACGAGCGACGCCGCGUGUGCGAUGAAGGCCUUCGGGUUGUAAAGCACUGUCGAGGGGGAUCAAGGCCGGCGUAAGCCGGCUUGAGUGAUCCCUGGAGGAAGCACGGGCUAAGUUCGUGCCAGCAGCCGCGGUAAGACGAACCGUGCGAACGUUGUUCGGAAUCACUGGGCUUAAAGGGCGCGUAGGCGGCUCGCGAGGUCGGGGGUGAAAUCCCGCAGCUUAACUGCGGAAGGGCCUUCGAUACCGGCGGGCUGGAGGAAGGUAGGGGUGCGCGGAACUUCUGGUGGAGCGGUGAAAUGCGUUGAUAUCAGAAGGAACGCCGGCGGCGAAAGCGGCGCACUGGACCUUUUCUGACGCUGAGGCGCGAAAGCUAGGGGAGCAAACGGGAUUAGAUACCCCCGUAGUCC
RNAcentral lists this ribosomal RNA (439 nucleotides) under uncultured bacterium. Its description in RNAcentral is "bacterial SSU rRNA". It matches the Rfam family "Bacterial small subunit ribosomal RNA", at positions 355 to 796 of the family's 1533-position model. The record is from RNAcentral.